ACCGCUUGAUCCGCUCUUGUUC
RNAcentral lists this non-coding RNA (22 nucleotides) under Arabidopsis thaliana (thale cress). The record is from RNAcentral. Lineage: Eukaryota; Viridiplantae; Streptophyta; Magnoliopsida; Brassicales; Brassicaceae.